This 446-nucleotide ribosomal RNA is filed under the name uncultured bacterium. RNAcentral's name for it is "partial 16S ribosomal RNA". It matches the Rfam family "Bacterial small subunit ribosomal RNA", at positions 338 to 795 of the family's 1533-position model. The record is from RNAcentral.
CCUACGGGUGGCAGCAGUCGAGAAUCAUUCACAAUGGGGGAAACCCUGAUGGUGCGACGCCGCGUGGGGGAAUGAAGGUCUUCGGAUUGUAAACUCCUGUCAUGUGGGAGCAAAUUAAAAAGAUAGUACCACAAGAGGAAGAGACGGCUAACUCUGUGCCAGCAGCCGCGGUAAUACAGAGGUCUCAAGCGUUGUUCGGAAUCACUGGGCGUAAAGCGUGCGUAGGCUGUUUCGUAAGUCGUGUGUGAAAGGCGCGGGCUCAACCCGCGGACGGCACAUGAUACUGCGAGACUAGAGUAGUGGAGGGGGAACCGGAAUGCUCGGUGUAGCAGUGAAAUGCGUAGAUAUCGAGAGGAACACUCGUGGCGAAGGCAGGUUCCUGGACAUUAACUGACGCUGAGGCACGAAGGCCAGGGGAGCGAAAGGGAUUAGAUACCCGAGUAGUC